This 880-nucleotide ribosomal RNA is filed under the name uncultured bacterium. RNAcentral's name for it is "bacterial SSU rRNA". It matches the Rfam family "Bacterial small subunit ribosomal RNA", at positions 23 to 916 of the family's 1533-position model. The record is from RNAcentral.
CUCAGGAUGAACGCUGGCGGCGUGCUUAACACAUGCAAGUCGAACGAUUAAAGCUCUCUUCGGAGAGUGUAUAGAGUGGCGAACGGGUGAGUAACACGUGGGCAAUCUGCCCCUCACACUGGGAUAACUCAUGGAAACGUGAGCUAAUACCGGAUACUCCGGGAUGACCGCAUGGUCGACCCGGGAAAGCUCCGACGGUGAGGGAUGAGCCCGCGGCCCAUUAGCUUGUUGGUAGGGUAAUGGCCUACCAAGGCGACGAUGGGUAGCCGACCUGAGAGGGUGAUCGGCCACACUGGGACUGAGACACGGCCCAGACUCCUACGGGAGGCAGCAGUGGGGAAUCUUGCACAAUGGGCGAAAGCCUGAUGCAGCAACGCCGCGUGCGGGAUGAAGGCCUUCGGGUUGUAAACCGCUUUCAGCAGGGAUGAAAAUGACAGUACCUGCAGAAGAAGCCCCGGCUAACUACGUGCCAGCAGCCGCGGUAAUACGUAGGGGGCAAGCGUUAUCCGGAUUUAUUGGGCGUAAAGAGCGCGUAGGCGGGCUAUUAAGCGAGAUGUGAAAACUGGGGGCUCAACCCGCAGCUUGCAUCUCGAACUGGUAGCCUUGAGUCUGGUAGAGGAGUGUGGAAUUCCCAGUGUAGCGGUGAUAUGCGCAGAUAUUGGGAGGAACACCAGUGGCGAAGGCGGCACUCUGGGCCACGACUGACGCUGAGGCGCGAAAGCUAGGGGAGCGAACAGGAUUAGAUACCCUGGUAGUCCUAGCCGUAAACGAUGGGCACUAGGUGUGGGGGGUUAUCAACUCCCUCCGUGCCGCAGCUAACGCAUUAAGUGCCCCGCCUGGGGAGUACGGCCGCAAGGCUAAAACUCAAAUGAAUUGACGG